AUGGUGCCAAGGUCGAAGGCAUCGUGGUGGCGCAUUGGAGCUGGAGGAGGCGGUGGGCCAGCACUGUUUGUGCUCAAGACGUACGAGAUGGUGGACAGCCCAUCGACGGAAGCAGCGGUCUGGUGGAGUGACGUGUUGGACACGACCUUCGUGGUCUGGUGCUCGCUGGAGUUUUCAUCUUCAAGCACAGAAAUUUCUCCAGUUUCAUCCAUGAGCUCCCCCCAACCCUCUCUUACUGAAUCCCUACGCACCCCAAGCAAUCUCGGUCAAGUUUGUGCGGAUUUGGGUUUAAGAUCUGUGCAUGUGCGGGGAAUUUAUUAG
Molecule: ribosomal RNA, 321 nt
Filed under: Triticum aestivum (bread wheat)
Lineage: Eukaryota; Viridiplantae; Streptophyta; Magnoliopsida; Poales; Poaceae
Description: partial small subunit ribosomal RNA
Source: RNAcentral